AUUGAACGCUGGCGGCAGGCCUAACACAUGCAAGUCGAACGGUAGCAGGAAGAAGAUUGCUUCUUUGCUGACGAGUGGAGGACGGGUGAGUAAUGUCUGGGAAACCGCCUGACGGAGGGAGAUAACUACUGGAAACGGUAGCCAAAACCGCAUAACGUCGCAAGACCACAGAGGGGGACCUUCGGGACUCUUGCCAUCAGAUAUGCCCAGAUGGGAUUAGCUAGUAGGUGGGGUAACGGCUCACCUAGGAGACGGUCCCUAGCUGGUCUGAGAGGAUGACCAGCCACACUGGAACUGAGACACGGUCCAGAAUCCUACGGGAGGCAGCAGUGGGGAAUAUUGCACAAUGGGCGCAAGCCUGAUGCAGCCAUGCCGCGUGUGUGAAGAAGGCCUUCGGGUUGUAAAGCACUUUCAGCGGGGAGGAAGGGGGAAUGGUUAAUAACCAUUGUCAUUGACGUUACCCGCAGAAGAAGCACCGGCUAACUCCGUGCCAGCAGCCGCAGUAA
This 506-nucleotide ribosomal RNA is filed under the name uncultured bacterium. RNAcentral's name for it is "partial 16S ribosomal RNA". It matches the Rfam family "Bacterial small subunit ribosomal RNA", at positions 30 to 523 of the family's 1533-position model. The record is from RNAcentral.